AGAAAUGAAUGAAUUGCAUCUAAUGGUAAGACAGCAUACGCAUCUGAUGAGCAAUAAGAUGAAGGACCGGUUCGAUCAAGCGGCAAAUUCAAAAGGUUUUGAAGAAGGUGAUCUGGUCCUGUUGUACAAUCCACUUCGAAAGAAAGGCUUGUCCCCGAAACUGCAGACAGCCUGGGAAGGACCCUAUAUGGUGACGAAACGACUUAAUGACGUGGUAUACCGCAUACAAAGAAAUGGAAAAGCACGAUGUAAAAUGAAAGUAGUACAUUUGGAGAGGCUCGCCCCAUUUGGUUCAAGAGGAUUUGUGCCUAAUCGGGACGAUUAGGCUUUAGUGGAGGGCAGUGUUACAAAAAGUAGUAUUAAGUUAUAUUUGUAUUACUAUAUGCAUCCCUGAUUAUGAACAAUAGCUGUAGGUAUAUGGAAUAGCAUUUGUCUUGUUGUAGACAUCUGGCGCCACACUGUCUGCUCGUCUAGUUAAACAAUUGCUGAGUCUGGCGCCGCGACUGUCUGCUUGCGUCUGGCGCCGUAUAGCCGUAUGUUCUGGUAAUUUCCAGACGCGAUAUUCUAGAAGGACACGUCGGCAUCAGCGAGAAGUGCGUGGCUAUAUAAGCCGUGGCAGCGCCAACGUAAUCAAUCAGUGCUAAGAGUAAACUGCUAUAGUGUAGACGAGUUGUGAAAUAAAGAGUUGUCGAAUUAAAUUAAACAGUGUUGAUUUUAUUUGUCAAUCCAGAGAUACGAACCUAACAAAGUGAACUAGCAAAGAGUAAAUUCGUAACAAUAUUACAAUGUUAACUCUUUGAAAUAGGAAAACGAAUACCCAACUUUUCAAGAAGAAGAAAACGAAAAGCGCAGUUUAUUUUGGAUUUUAAAGCGGUAAAUCAAGGUAGAGGAGGAGUAAGGUCACUAUCAGCUGAUGCUAUGUAAACAAAGGCACAGCUGAGAGGUGCCACUGUAGAAACGCCAAGUGUAGUCCGGGGUUGAGUUUCUAUUUGAAUCCAAGAUGGCCGACUUUUAACCGGAAAAUGGUUGCAUUGUGUUAUUUUCUUAAAAUUUAUGGAAAAGUUGUCCCAAAAAUAUUGGUUAUAUGUAAACGUUUAAUAUAUUUUCAAAAGAAAAUUGUUUUAUUUUAAUAUAUAUUCUUAAAGAUGAGAACAAUAUGAGCAAAUACAUGAAAAAUUAAGUUUUUUAUUUAUGCCUCUUUUUAACUGUGGUAAGUCAAUAAAUGUUCACCACAGAAAAAUGUUACGAACAAAUAAGCAACCAUGCGGAAUAGUGGGGUCUAGAUUAUGCUCAUUCACAGCCAUAUUUACAUUUUUGCCAUCGUAACGAAGGUUUUUGCAAAGACAAUUUGUUUUAGUUUAUUUCAUGGUUAAAUCCUUUGCUAUGGUUUAUUUAGUUAUUUUAAUCUAUAAAAAGUGUUUACAAUUUUCAUGGGACGAUAAACAUCAGAUCGGCUGCGAUUUUAUUCCAAUAAAAGUACGAAAUAACCAAACAUGGCCACGUUAAUAUUGCUGCGUAAUGGGUCUGGUGCUCUUACAAUUUUAUGAUUUAAGAGAUACUCAAAUGUAGUUAUCAAAUUAGUUGGUCGUGAAUUCGAGACAAAAUUUUAAAUUCAAUGGCGUUCUCGUGUAAGAGAUCGCAUUGCUAGAAUCAGCAAAGGAGCUAGUGUAGAACGCUAGUCCCAAACCAAUGAGCUUUGUGCUUGAGGGUGGAAGCAACUUUUUGAAGAGCAAAUACUACGGUGAGCACAUUCGGAUGUUGCAUAACCUAUUGUAAAUUGCGCUUAGAAUCCCGGUACUGCUGGUCAGGUUUAUCAGGCUGUUGGACCAAAGCGUUACCAGUUGAGCGAAUUAAUUGACUGGUUUCAUCGUGUUAUGCGCAAAGAUGAAAAAUGGUGGGGAUACCGUCAUUAAGACAUGUGUUGUGAUCCUACCUUCUUAUUGAAAGCCAAGUUCACGAGUGUAUUACCGAUGUCAUUCCCUCCAACAUACCGUGGUUGAAGAAUUUUCGUCUACAAUCAAUGGAAGAGCAAGUACCAUGAGAAUUAUGACCAUACCGUGCUGCGCAAUAUUAUGAUGCCGAAUUGGGGAGUGGGGGGAACCAGCUCCACCAAAACCGAUAGAACAUCGGGAUGAACUACGCAAAUAAUAAACAACACUCAUCAAAUGAAAGAUGGCAGCCUUGGUGACUAAGCAGCGAUUUGAAAAAGAAACAUUUGCAUCUACGCGAAUUACAAUUCGUCUUUACAUCUAGUGAAUUAUGGGCGAUUAUGAAUGGUGUGGAAGUUGAUAUUUAAACUUAAAAAAACAAAUAAAUGUAAUUUGGCUAAUAUUGAUAUUUAAACUUUAAAAAACAAAUAAAUGUAAUUUGACUAAUAAUGAGCCGCUAUUAAAAGUUAAGGAAUUUGGGUUGUAUUUUUAAUUGGGCCAAACAAGUUAUUAUCGAUUUGAAUAACUUCAAACGGAAUAUAUUUCGAACAAUCAUUUAUUUUUUUAAAUACUAUGCCGGUAUCACUACUGAGCAUGGCAAAAUAGUGUUGCGUGAGCUAAUUUAAACUACUUUUUACUACUAUAUAGAUAUUGCAAAUUCAAAAAAUAAUUUCUUUAAGAAUCCUUUUUAUUUAAAAACUUAAGCUUAGUACGCAGCUCUCAAGAAACGUAAAAACUCCAUAUAAAAAAACGCUUAAGAAACGGUCCAGAAACGUUCCUGCGAUAAAGUUACUUGUGCUAGUACGCAGCUCUCAAGAAAUCUAGUACUAAUUUUUAAUACUUUUUUUCAAUAAAAUGUGAAUAUGGCAAACCUGGUUUUGCGAAGAAACAUCAAAUCAACAAUUGUUUCUUGAAGGAAACUCGAAAUAAUCGUCAAAUUCAUCCUAAAUUAGUUGAAAUCAUUAUUAUAAAGUAUAUUCCAUUUUGAAAUGUUGUAUAAAACCAACCAAUCAACAACAACAUUCCUUAAAUCUCAAUGAAAAUAUUUGUGUUACCAUACACAUACAUACAUGCAUACAUACGCACAAAGUUUGUUUACUUUGUUUAUUCUCUCUUGCUCUUCUAAUGUGGAUCAUUCACAAUGCGUAACCAGCUGUCAAAAUUACUUGAGAAAUAAUGUAUUUUUGUUCUUGAGCAAUUACUUGAGAGCUGCGUACCAACCUUUAGCUUAGAACUAAAAAAUAGUGUGGUAAAUCUGUUGGGAUAAUCAAACACUCCAUUUGGGAAUGAGUAGGAUUCCUGAUCGCCGGCGUAUAGCUAAAUUCUGACAUUUAAAACGUGUACGUAGUUUGUGAUUACAAAAAUUUAUAAUUAAAAUAUAGAAAACAUGGCUAUUAUAAUUAUCUCUUGAUUUAUCUUACAAUAAAAAAUGUGUUUUACUGUUCAGACGAAUUGUUAUGCAUUUUCGCUUUCUGCAACCCGUUUUAACCUCUCGCCACCCUUAUUCACCAGAGGUGGCCAUGAUGUUGUUAUUGUAAAAGUACACUUGAGGGGUAGCUUAAGUACUGUGAAUGGCUCUUUUUCUAUGGUGAAUGGGACUUUCCCUACUCCUCUAUACCAUGCGGUAAAUUCAUUGCUUGAGAAUUUAAUAUUUUAUAAUUAAUUUCUAUUAUAUACAUAUAUAUAUAUUAUUAAUUUCUUUUAUAUAGAGAAAACGAAAAAGCUUGGAAAAAAGAUAAGCAUUGAAUUGAAUCAUCACAAAUUGUUGUACCGUCACUAUCGCCGGAACGCACGUGCGCUUCGUGGAAGACAAUCUUUCACAAAUGGAAAGUACGGAUGCUAUGAUGCGGCUAAUAUUGAAAUCAAAGGGCGCAAAAGGCAUUGUGGACAGUAUGUUUUCUGACGAUAUAAUAUACCACUACAUUUUAGAGGGGCGCAAGGAGAAGGAAUCCCUACUAAAGCUAAAGUGCGUAGCGUUUGUUUUUGAAAUAUUUCCUGACAAGAUCAAAAACACUAUCUGUGGGGAGCUCUGGAGAUUUGUGACCUUAAGCCACAAUUUUUUUUAACCAAACUUAAGGCUAAAUUAAUAUAUGUUUUCUUAUUAUUAAUUCUUCUUUACUGGCGUAGACACCGCUUAGCUUUAAGUUGUAAAUAUUAGUUUUUAGUAGAACAUUAGUUCUAAGUUGUACAUAUUAGUUUUAAGUUGAUGUUUCUAAUAUCACUUUUAAAAAUAUGAAAUAUAAUUUUAAUUUUUAU
Bactrocera dorsalis (oriental fruit fly) is the source of this 4184-nucleotide long non-coding RNA. RefSeq lists it as uncharacterized. The transcript is spliced from 6 exons. NCBI's taxonomy places the organism in Eukaryota, Metazoa, Arthropoda, Insecta, Diptera, Tephritidae. The record is from RefSeq and is a predicted model, not a curated record.